Molecule: transfer RNA, 73 nt
Filed under: Gulosibacter sp. 10
Lineage: Bacteria; Bacillati; Actinomycetota; Actinomycetes; Micrococcales; Microbacteriaceae
Rfam family: tRNA
About the family: Transfer RNA (tRNA) molecules are approximately 80 nucleotides in length. Their secondary structure includes four short double-helical elements and three loops (D, anti-codon, and T loops).
Source: Rfam by way of RNAcentral
GGGUCUUUAGCUCAGUUGGUAGAGCGCCACGUUUACACCGUGGAUGUCAUCGGUUCGAGCCCGGUAGGACCCA